Molecule: ribosomal RNA, 439 nt
Filed under: uncultured bacterium
Lineage: Bacteria
Description: partial 16S ribosomal RNA
Rfam family: Bacterial small subunit ribosomal RNA
Source: RNAcentral
CUACGAGCUGCUGCAGUGAGGAAUAUUGCACAAUGGGGGGAACCCUGAUGCAGCAACGCUGCGUGGAGGAUGACGCAUUUCGGUGUGUAAACUCCUUUUAUAUGUCAAGAAAAUGACGGUAGCAUAUGAAUAAGCACCGGCUAACUCCGUGCCAGCAGCCGCGGUAAUACGGAGGGUGCAAGCGUUACUCGGAAUCACUGGGCGUAAAGGACGCGUAGGCGGGUUGGAAAGUCAGGUGUGAAAUCCUACAGCUUAACUGUAGAACUGCACUUGAAACUUCUAAUCUAGAGUAUGGGAGGGGGAGAUGGAAUUAGUGGUGUAGGGGUAAAAUCCGUAGAUAUCACUAGGAAUACCUAAAGCGAAGGCGAUCUCCUGGAACAUUACUGACGCUAAGGCGUGAAAGCGUGGGGAGCAAACAGGAUUAGAUACCCCGGUAGUC